GAGUGGUAGUUCAGUUGGUUAGCUUCUUUAUCAGAGAAAGCCGGCCUGUCACGCCGGGGGGCGCGGGUUCGAGUCCCGUCCGCUCCG
This 87-nucleotide transfer RNA is filed under the name Shewanella litorisediminis. RNAcentral describes it as "tRNA-Asp". It matches the Rfam family "tRNA". From Rfam's summary of the family: Transfer RNA (tRNA) molecules are approximately 80 nucleotides in length. Their secondary structure includes four short double-helical elements and three loops (D, anti-codon, and T loops). Lineage: Bacteria; Pseudomonadati; Pseudomonadota; Gammaproteobacteria; Alteromonadales; Shewanellaceae. The record is from RNAcentral.